GGUACGUCAGAGCGAAGCUGAUGCAGCCAUGCCGCGUGUGUGAGAAGGCCUUCGGGUUGUAAAGCUCUUUUGCAGGGAGGAAGGUGCCGGGACUAAUACCCUAGGACUUGACCGUUCCUAGCGAAGAAGCACCGGCUAACUUCGUGCCCCAGCCGCGGUUUAAA
Molecule: ribosomal RNA, 164 nt
Filed under: uncultured bacterium
Lineage: Bacteria
Description: partial 16S ribosomal RNA
Rfam family: Bacterial small subunit ribosomal RNA
Source: RNAcentral